RNAcentral lists this transfer RNA (73 nucleotides) under Photorhabdus luminescens subsp. sonorensis. Its description in RNAcentral is "tRNA-Lys". The stretch from base 5 to 62 matches the Rfam family "tRNA", at positions 8 to 63 of the family's 71-position model. From Rfam's summary of the family: Transfer RNA (tRNA) molecules are approximately 80 nucleotides in length. The record is from RNAcentral. Lineage: Bacteria; Pseudomonadati; Pseudomonadota; Gammaproteobacteria; Enterobacterales; Morganellaceae.
UUGUUAGCUCAGUCGGUAGAGCAGUUGACUUUUAAUCAAUUGGUCGUAGGUUCGAGCCGAGCGAAGCGAGACA